AACGCAUAUUGCGCCCAUUAGUAUUCUAGUGGGCAUGCCUGUUCGAGCGUCAUUUCAACCCUCAAGUUUGUUAACUUGGUGUUGGAGCUUCUGUUGCACUACGUGCUACAGGCCCUGAAAGACAUUGGCGAGCUCACUGUAAAUCCGAGCGUAGUAGAUUCUUCGCUUAGGGAUAAACAGAAAGUAUUAGCCAUAAAACCUUUUUUUUUUUUUUUAAAAGUUGACCUCGGAUCAGGUAGGAAUACCCGCUGAACUUAA
RNAcentral lists this unclassified non-coding RNA (258 nucleotides) under uncultured fungus. Its description in RNAcentral is "partial contains 5.8S ribosomal RNA, internal transcribed spacer 2, and large subunit ribosomal RNA". The record is from RNAcentral. Lineage: Eukaryota; Fungi.